Molecule: ribosomal RNA, 1106 nt
Filed under: uncultured bacterium
Lineage: Bacteria
Description: bacterial SSU rRNA
Rfam family: Bacterial small subunit ribosomal RNA
Source: RNAcentral
AGAGUUUGAUCCUGGCUCAGGAUAAACGCUGGCGGCGUGCCUUAUGCAUGCAAGUCGAACGGAUCACUUCGGUGACUAGUGGCAAACGGGUGAGUAACGCGUAAGCAACCUGCCCUUAAGUAGGGGAUAACUCUGAGAAAUUAGAGCUAAUACCUUAUGUGGUGAUGGAGGUAAGGCUUCAUCACUAAAGCCUUAGGGCGCUUAAGGAGGGGCUUGCGUCCGAUUAGCUAGUUGGUAGGGUAAUGGCUUACCAAGGCGACGAUCGGUAGCUGGUUUGAGAGGAUGUCCAGCCACACUGGGAUUGAGAUACGGCCCAGACUCCUACGGGAGGCAGCAGCAAGGAAUAUUGUGCAAUGGGCGAAAGCCUGACACAGCGACGCCGCGUGGGGGAUGAAGGCCCUCGGGUUGUAAACCCCUUUUCUCAGGGAAGAAUAAUGACGGUACCUGAGGAAUAAGCCUCGGCUAACUACGUGCCAGCAGCCGCGGUAAUACGUAGGAGGCAAGCGUUAUCCGGAUUUACUGGGCGUAAAGAGGGCGUAGGCGGCUUUUCAAGUCGGAUGUAAAAUCUCCCGGCUUAACUGGGAGGGAUCACCCGAUACUGUUAGGCUAGAGGACAGCAGAGGGAGGUGGAAUUCCCGGUGUAGUGGUGAAGUGCAUAGAUAUCGGGAGGAACACCAGUGGCGAAGGCGGCCUCCUGGGCUGUUUCUGACGCUGAGGCCCGAAAGCGUGGGGAGCGAACAGAAUUAGAUACUCUGGUAGUCCACGCCGUAAACGAUGGACACUAGGUAUGGGGAGUAUCGACCCUCUCCGUGCCGAAGCUAACGCAUUAAGUGUCCCGCCUGGGGAGUACGGUCGCAAGACUAAAACUCAAAGGAAUUGACGGGGGCCCGCACAAGCAGCGGAGCGUGUGGUUUAAUUCGAUGCAACGCGAAGAACCUUACCAAGGCUUGACAUGUUGGAAGUAGCAACCCGAAAGGGAAGCGACCUGUUAAGUCAGGAGCCAGCACAGGUGCUGCAUGGCUGUCGUCAGCUCGUGCCGUGAGGUGUUGGGUUAAGUCCCGCAACGAGCGCAACCCUCGUUGCCAGUUAUUUUCUCUGGCGAGACU